RNAcentral lists this long non-coding RNA (5621 nucleotides) under Vigna radiata. RNAcentral describes it as "long non-coding RNA (VRAD_LNC003623)". The record is from RNAcentral. Lineage: Eukaryota; Viridiplantae; Streptophyta; Magnoliopsida; Fabales; Fabaceae.
UUCCAAGCAUUAAUUUCAUUCCAGCAAGGAAACUUAAAAGCAAUUGACAACAACUUCCAUUUUCAUUCCUCACAAGCAAUGUUAAACAAAGGCUAACAAAAAAAAUAAAAUAAAAUCGGUGUGGCCCCUACUGCCCUACAUUCACAUUCAAGAAAGCUCUAAAAAGAAAUAAAAACAAAAGGUGCGGCUUCUUCCUUCACCCCUGUAUACCAACAUUCAAAAUCCCGAGGCAAAGAAAGAAAAUGUCAAAAGCUUUUUCCUCCUAUUUUUUAUUCAAUAAAGAAAACUCAAGAGCAAAACAAAAUGNUGCAGUCAAUUAAAAGAAAAAAAAAAGGAAUUACUUUCUUUAUNUAACCCAUGGAGCCAAAACCGAGAGUCACAUUUUUCCUCNAGAAAACGUUUCANCAUCACCCCCAAUAUCUCAAAUGAAAAUNUGUACCCCCCCUUAAGAGUGACGGUUGGAAGCUCUCCUAAAAGUGAGGGUGGGGUCCACCGUAAGAAAAUGAAACCCUAGAGUUAGGCCAUUUGUCCCACAAAAUUGGGCCUUUACAUUUUUGCCACUAAAGGGCCCAUUGCACAUAAGCUUAAUUAAAGUUUUCUAAUCAACUAAGUUAUAAUUUAAUUAAAAAUGAAAUGUCUGAUUGUUGAGUCUUGAAUUGAUUUUGUGUCCUCCAAAUGUCCCAAAUUGUGUUUCCAAAAAUUUUCCCUGAAAAUAAUAAUGCAAAUAAUUAGCUCAGAAAAUUCAAAUUAAUUAAAAUUAGAAUUUCCGGCCAAAUUAAGCAUAAUUAAGAAAAACGGGAAAAUACCGAACAAUUAAGCACAAUUCCCUGAUUAAUUCUAGCACAAUAAACUAAGUGAAAUCAAUAAAAUAUUGACUCGUCAAAAUAGACCACACUUAGUCUUUUGCACUCCUGGGCAAAAUCAAGACGCAAAACANGNAACAGUUCAACGGACAUCAGGGAAUUGACACAGACUCAGCAGACAGAAUUACAGUCCUCAAGAAAUCUGGACAAGGAAAAGUAGUAGACAGUAUCCACACAGAAUCAGAGAAAACAGAUACUCAGAGAAAUCAUCCACGCAAUUCCAAGCAUGGCAAAAUAAUCAAUCAAUUCAAGAGGUAAAUCAAAAGUUACAGAACCUCACAGAUGCACUAUUAGUGUUUAUCUCGAGUGUCUAGGGUAAGCAAUUUCAACUCAAUGCACUCAAGAAAGCAAACACAAACAGACUUGGCAGGCCUUUAAUAUCAACACUCAAAACAUAUGCAUGUUCAAAUCAAAAGGUCUUUUAUNGAUGCAAUGGGGCCAAGGACAAGGGAGGAUAAAUAUUGGAUGAGAAGCUACAAACCAAAAGAAAUAGAGGAGCAAUGGGGAACAAGUGAAAACUCAGUCAAAUCACACCCAAAACCUCUAAUUCAAUCCUCUUCUUGACUCCAUUAUUCACACAAUUUUUUUUAAUUUUUCUCAUUUUUUUGUAUAUUUUUUUUCAUCUUGUCUCUUUUUUCUUCUCUUUUUUUUCAGAACACAACUCUAAGAGACAAGAUACACAACAUAUUUAUAAAAACAAAAACAAGAAGAGGAACCAACUAGCCAAUUCAUCUGAAUCUCCCAAGAGACCACACUUAUUCCCAAAACAAUUCCAAAGCUCCAAAAUUCCCUAAGGUUAAGGUAAACAUGGUUUUUCACUUAAGGAUAAUUAAUGAGCUUGAAAACAAAGAAUAGGGGAAAGUAUAGGCUUAAAGGGGUUAUCAAAGGAUUAGAACAAGGUAGGCUCAUCUGGCUAGAGAGGCUCAACAACAAAACUGCCUUUAUCAUUUCCAAACAUGCAUAUCAAUCAAAAAUCAUCAAAAAGAGUCAAGUCAAGGCAUAUGUGCAAGCAAUCAACAGAUAUAUCACACAAGAAAGAACAUAAAGUGGCUCAAUUCUCACACAAGGUAUUCUGUCACAAUCAAAUCAACCUCCCAAACAUCAUAAUCAUCUUUCCAAGCAAAGAAAAACAAGGAAUCCAACAAAUUAGAGUAUCAAUGAAUUGAAAGACACAUCUACAACCUAAACAAAGUCCAGAAUUCAAGUGAAACAUGCAAAACUGUAUAUAAGACGAAACAAAAAAUACCUAGAAAACAAAAAAUUUAACGCAGAAAACAUAAACUAAAGAAAAUAGAAAUCUCCCCCAAUAGACCACACUUAAACUACACAAUGUCCUCAGUGUGUCACAAUCAUCAGAUUCACAAUCAGAAUAGUCAAAAGAUAUAGGCAAAGUGCAAUAAAGUGGGAAAAGGAGGAGAGGGGAAAAGAAAAACUCCUCUGAUCAAGGUGGCAUUUGCCAAUUUUGGACUUUCAGGGAGAUCUCUUCCACCACCAGAUUCAGCCAAGAAGUCUUGAGGAGGAACUGCUUUAGUCUCCAAAUUUGAUCAAGCAGGGAGAUGUCCUCCACAGCUGGAUCUAAGAAGCAGUGAUCGUUGACGAGCAGGUUCAGUUGGCGCCUAUUGAUCUUCAAACUGUCGGCACCUUUGUCUUCCACCAUGGGUGUGUGUUGAUCAAAUUCAUAUGUACCUCCUGCAACAUGGUUAGUGCAAUAUGGUUCCACAAAAAUAACAUGCAGAGGUAUAACACCCAAUCCCAGUGUAACAGGCUGAACCUCAGAUAAACUCUCAGAACAUGAAUCAAUUUCAAAUGUAGAAACAAUAUCAACAACAGGCUCAAAUUCAUGUUCAGUGCAUGGAGAACAAACAUUCAGAUGUGAUAACAAAAAGUGGUUCUCAUCAUGCAGAGACAGAGAAUUAGAAGCAUGCUCACCAACAAUAUAAUCAUCAACAAUAUACAAAGAAAGAUGUUGCUUCUCUCUUUUCCAAACAAACUGCUACAGCGGUAGCUCUCCUUCCACUGUCAAAUGUUGUAUGUGUGGCAUUGGGAUGGAAACCUCUGGCUCGCUCAAAGUAGUAUCAAUACACUCUCCUUCAUCAACCAUGAAUUCCUUAAUGACAACACCUGCAUUAUCAUUUAAUUCUACAACAUGGUCAUCAAACUCAUAGUUAGUCUCAUCCAUUAUAAACUUGGAAGUUGGUUGUAUAACAGAAUUGAUUUCAACACAAAUAGAGCAAGAACCAACUUCACAACUACAUUUAAAAUUUUCAGAAAACUGUGAAAGGUCAAAAUUUAAUCCCAACACUAGAACAUCAUCAAUUUUCACAGUUUCUGUAUCAAAAUCAGCACUAACAUGUGAAUCUGCAGGAGAAUCAAGAAUAUUUGAAUGCAUAAACAACUCAGGCAAAGCAAGUGGGAUUUCAAGUGUAGAGAAAACCUGUGUUGAUUCAUGUUUCACCUCAUCAAUAACAUCAGAAUUAGCAACUGUAUCCUCAGGGCUAUCAUAUAAAUCAAGAUCAGUGCAAGGAUAGUGAACAUCAGGUAUGUCAAUGUGCUCUGUAGGGAGUAAUGAAUCCAGAACAUGAGUGUGCACAUGCAUGUUAAUAUCAGAAUCCAGAUGAGGCUUAAUGGGUAAAAGCAUUAAAAUUUUCUUGAACCUUAGAUACAUGAAUAGGGAUUUCAAGUUCAGAGUAAGCUUAGGUUCUUCCCUUACUACCUGAAUUGGAUUUUCACCAGUCAACUUGCAGAAUAGCUUCCUUGCCUCUGUUGGAGUUAUGUGCAGAAAAGAUCCACCAGCAGCUACAUCCACAAAUAUCCUUUCAUUGCCUAUGAGCCCUUCAUAGAAGUAAAGCAAGAGCAAAUGCUCAGGGAUCUGGUGAUUCGGACAAGCUGAGCAAAGCCCAUUGAAUCGCUCCCAAUAUUCCGCUAGGCUUUCUUCUUGAAACUGCACAAUGGUAGUAAUCUCCCUCCUAAUGCUGCUUACCUUUGCUGCUGGGAAGAACUUGUUGAGGAAUCCUUGCUGUGUUUCCUGCCAGCUAUCAAAAGGACGAUACCGCUGAUCUAGGAACCAGUCUUUUGCUGCACCUUGAAGAGACAUUGGAAACACUUUCAUCCGUACUUUCUCCUCUGAAACACCAGUAGGCCUCAUGGAUGAGCACACCCAACUAAACUCCUUGAGGUGCUUGUGUGCAUUUUCAUGUGUCAGCCCAUGGAACUUGGGAAGCCUCUUGAUCAGCUCACACAUCAAGUCUACAAAAUUUGUCAUCUCCUCUAUUCUCGUGCAAAACAUGUCUCAAACCUGGACUUCCACUUCAAGCAAGGAUUAUACCAAACAUACAGAAGCAUAAUAUAGAGGAAAACCAUUAUUUACAGACUUUGGAAUUUCCAAAAACAACAACUAAAUGCACAGAAUAACAAAAUGAUAAAAACCUAAACACACAAAAACUACUAAAAGAAAUAAACCGAAACAAGACUAACUAAACACCCUAAAUCUCAACACAACACAGCUAAACAUGCAACACGCACACACAAUAACACAGACACAAAACAUAACAUCACACUCACAACACAAGACAAAACACAAUACACACUAACACAACAAAAUACCUAAAACCGAACUGUUGGUCCCCGGCAACGACGCCAAAAUUUUGAUGGGUGUCGCGGCCCAUACAAAUUUGAUUGCAUAUUAGAAAUGCAGUAUAACUAGGAAGUGACUCCUAGUUCGUCUCUCAAGGACCAACUGCAGUUUGAGACUUAGGUCUAAAACAUAGUGGGGGGUUUUGAAGGUGUUUUUGUGAAUGCAACUAAAUUAAAGCACGAUGUUAAACCUAACUAACAUAAUUGAAAAGGUUGGAUAUUAGAGCUAACAUAACAACUAAAUCAUCACAACUAAAAAAAUAUAAAACAUUAAAGUAAAUGAAAAUGCUUAAACCCAACUACUAACACAUGUCUAAACAUAAUUAAAGCACUUAAAAUGUAACACUUAAGAUAAAAUAUUAAAUGCACUAUGCAACUAUAAUAAUAAAAGGAACGCUUGGCUAAUGACGAAAUGCACAUUAAAUUUUAGAAUAAAAUAAACUAUGCUUAGCAAAUAAUUAAAAUGCAUGGCAACUAAAAACAAAACGUUUAAGCUAUUAAUUAAAAUGCACAUUCCAGCAGAAGAAAAUAGUGUCAUGCGUUUUCUCCAAGAUAAAUGAUGGCAAGCUAUUAAUUAAAAUACACCUACUCCGAAUUAAUUCAUUACUUGAAAAUUCUAAAGGAAAUAAAAGAUGGUGCUUCCACAAUUUUAACGUAACAACCCCUCCAAAAUGAAAAUAAAAAAAAAUGCACAUUCUUCACAAACUUCAAUCACCAGUAGCUACAGGACAUGACCGUACUUAAAAAAAACAAUAAUGAAAAGCCAAAUAGUAAAAGGAAUUAAAGUCCAACAUCACUCAAAAUCAAUCUUGAAAUCUCGUAUGCUUCCUUCAAUGAAAAAAAUUUCCCAACCAAAGCCUUGAAUUUUUGCAUUCAAUAAAUAAAAAAAAAAACAUCACUUCCAAGCAUUAAUUUCAUUCCAGCAAGGAAACUUAAAAGCAAUUGACAACAACUUCCAUUUUCAUUCCUCACAAGCAAUGUUAAACAAAGGCUAACAAAAAAAAUAAAAUAAAAUCGGUGUGGCCCCUACUGCCCUACAUUCACAUUCAAGAAAGCUCUAAAAAGAAAUAAAAACAAAAGGUGCGGCUUCUUCCUUCACCCCUGUAUACCAACAUUCAAAAUCCC